RNAcentral lists this long non-coding RNA (549 nucleotides) under Phoenix dactylifera (date palm). Its description in RNAcentral is "long non-coding RNA (PDAC_LNC012915)". The record is from RNAcentral. Lineage: Eukaryota; Viridiplantae; Streptophyta; Magnoliopsida; Arecales; Arecaceae.
UUCAUUGGAGAUAAAAAGCUUGAUAACGUACAGCUAAUAUCAGUUCUUUAUUGAUCGAAUGAUCAUAAUUGAUGCAUAUAUAAGUCAAAGUCCACAUCAAUCACCAUGCAAAUGUGAAUUAAAUGAUGCUCACUUCAAGUGAUGAGAGCGACGAGCAAAAACAAAACUUGUUGGUUGAACUUGAAGUAAAAUGAUAUUUUGUGAUCAAAGGAUGCCUGAAAGGAUAACACAAAAUACCAACCUUCACUAAAUAGCUCUAUAGUUUCAUAUUGAAGAGAUGUCUCCAAUGAAAGAGCGCUGAAAUCAUCAUCUUGAUUGUUUUCGUUGCUUCUUUUUGUCCUCUCGGACAAGACAAACUUACCUUUUUCCAGACACAUUCUAAAAUAAGAACAUCCCCACCAGGAGUGGCCCAAUAUAUUUGGAGGCCUAAGGCCAUUUUGUCUUUGAGGCCUUCCCUGCAGUGGGCCGAUCUAAAGCGAACUCACAGGGAGCCUUUUUUCUUUUCAUUUUGUCUUUGAGGCAUUCCUGCGAUGGGCCUUCUUUAGGUCA